Molecule: unclassified non-coding RNA, 339 nt
Filed under: soil metagenome
Description: partial contains 5.8S ribosomal RNA, internal transcribed spacer 2, and large subunit ribosomal RNA
Rfam family: 5.8S ribosomal RNA (bases 1-120)
Source: RNAcentral
GAUGAAGAACGUAGCGAAAUGCGAUAAGUAGUGUGAAUUGCAGAAUUCAGUGAAUCAUCGAAUCUUUGAACGCACAUUGCGCCCCUCGGUAUUCCGUGGGGCAUGCCUGUUCGAGCGUCAUUUAACCCCUCAAGCCUAGCUUGGUAUUGGGUGCUUGUCCCGCCUCUCGCGCGGCGACUCACCUCAAAGUCAUUGGCAGCCCGCAUCUCGCCGGCCGUGAGCGCAGCACAGAUGCGCUCUUGGCAACGACGGAUCGGCUCUCCAAAAGCUUAUUUCAACCACUGACCUCGGAUCAGGUAGGGAUACCCGCUGAACUUAAGCAUAUCAAUAAGCGGAGGA